AUUGAACGCUGGCGGCAUGCCUUACACAUGCAAGUCGAACGGCAGCACGGGAGCAAUCCUGGUGGCGAGUGGCGAACGGGUGAGUAAUAUAUCGGAACGUGCCCGGUCGUGGGGGAUAACGUAGCGAAAGCUACGCUAAUACCGCAUACGAUCUACGGAUGAAAGCGGGGGAUCGCAAGACCUCGCGCGAUUGGAGCGGCCGAUAUCAGAUUAGGUAGUUGGUGAGGUAAAGGCUCACCAAGCCGACGAUCUGUAGCUGGUCUGAGAGGACGACCAGCCACACUGGGACUGAGACACGGCCCAGACUCCUACGGGAGGCAGCAGUGGGGAAUUUUGGACAAUGGGCGCAAGCCUGAUCCAGCAAUGCCGCGUGCAGGAUGAAGGCCUUCGGGUUGGUUAAAGGUACGU
Molecule: ribosomal RNA, 408 nt
Filed under: uncultured bacterium
Lineage: Bacteria
Description: bacterial SSU rRNA
Rfam family: Bacterial small subunit ribosomal RNA
Source: RNAcentral